Spea bombifrons (plains spadefoot toad) is the source of this 1227-nucleotide long non-coding RNA. RefSeq lists it as uncharacterized. NCBI's taxonomy places the organism in Eukaryota, Metazoa, Chordata, Amphibia, Anura, Pelobatidae. The transcript has 3 exons. The record is from RefSeq and is a predicted model, not a curated record.
ACUGGAAGUAAAUGGGGUAGCCCGAUUCUUCAUGAUUCUUCACUCCAUAUAACAUGUUUCGUGUGGCAGCAUGCUUUACACAACUAAAUCUGACACUUGGUAUUGUACUUGCUGAUGUGAGGCUUGCAUGCAGCUGCUCGCCCAUGGAAAACAAUUCCGUGAAUUUCUUGAUGCACAGUUUUUGUGUUGAUAUUAAUUAAUUAAUUAAACGCUUCCUCUUUACAAUCAUACCACUUAUAGUUGAACAUGAAAUAUCUAGCAGAGAUAAAAUUUCACUAACUUAUUGCAAAGGCUAUCACAGUACCACACUUGAAUUCUCUUCAGAACGACCCAUUUUCUUUUCACAAAUGUUGGUAAAUGCAGACUGUAUGGCUUGAUUUUAUACAACUGUGGCAAUGGGUCUGAUUGAAACACCUGAAUUCAAUAACUAAGAGGUGUGCCCCAAUGCUUUUGUCCAUAUACAGUAUCUUUAGGUGUAACACAUAAAUAUUCACAUGCAACAAAUUAGGGGUGUGCAAUAAAAAAAUUAAUACUUAGCUCUGAGAGAGAUGUACUUAUAAAGUAUUCAUAUUUCAAGCAAUAUAAAAAAAAAUAUUGCAUUCUACGUUUUGGCAAUCCACCAAAAACAAAAACACUAUAUGUAUCUCACUCACAUUUUUAUGAGCCUUACAGAUCCAGGCUCAGAAGAUAUACAGCUGUAGACUGUGUAGUGUAAUUUGUCCUUACACACAACUCAGACCAUGUGUAGCAAAAGCAAAGUGGGAAUGGAACAAACUUAUAAAGAGAACCGGGAUGCAAAGAAGAAAGAGUCGAGAAAUGCUUUUGUUGAUAUACUGUAUAAGCUUGGAUGCAUGGAUGUCUGGCGCCAUCCGAAUGAUGUCUUGAAUCACACAGGUAGUCUAGUAAGCCUCCGCUUGGUAAUGCAGAACAGUGACUUCAGUCUGCCUCCUCCCUCUUGUGUCACAAUGCCACGCUAUACAUCCUUCACAUUUAUUAAGCUUCCAAUAGACAUGGAUCGAGGUUGUCCUCUACUGUGUUUAUAUUCCAUCCCACUAAUUCUUAGGCUUUUUGAUACUUGGUCUCUAUCCUACAUCAUAUGUAUGUGUAUUGCGUAGACAUCACAGUGCCAUUUACUAUAUUAAUAGUAUAAUUAUUCCCACAUUAAAAAUUACCAAAAUGUCUUGGGUUUGUAAUAUAGCCAAUAUUUUUUGUGUUCUUUUUGCAUUA